GGAUGAAGAACGUAGCGAAAUGCGAUAAGUAAUGUGAAUUGCAGAAUUCCGUGAAUCAUCGAAUCUUUGAACGCACAUUGCGCCCUCUGGUAUUCCGGGGGGCAUGCCUGUCCGAGCGUCAUUUGCAACCCUCAAGCCCGGCUUGUGUGAUGGGUGCCGUCCCCUACGGGACGCGCCCCGAAGGCAAUGGCGGCGUCGCGGUUAUCCGAUCAGCCAAAGUGUAUGGGGCUUUGUCACUCACUUUACGGCCCGGACCGGCGCCAGUCCGAAUCAAUCUUUUUUCUAAAGUUGACCUCGGAUCAGGUAGGGAUACCCGCUGAACUUAAGCAUAUCAAUAAGCGGAGGA
This 346-nucleotide unclassified non-coding RNA is filed under the name soil metagenome. RNAcentral's name for it is "partial contains 5.8S ribosomal RNA, internal transcribed spacer 2, and large subunit ribosomal RNA". The stretch from base 2 to 121 matches the Rfam family "5.8S ribosomal RNA", at positions 35 to 154 of the family's 154-position model. The record is from RNAcentral.